GAUCAUGGCUCAGAUUGAACGCUGGCGGCAUGCCUAACACAUGCAAGUCGAACGGUAACAGGCCUUCGGCGCUGACGAGUGGCGGACGGGUGCGUAACGCGUGGGAAUCUGCCCAAUAGUGGGGGAUAACCCGGGGAAACUCGGGCUAAUACCGCAUACUCCCCAAGGGGGAAAGCGGGGGACCGCAAGGCCUCGCGCUAUUGGAUGAGCCCGCGUCCGAUUAGCUAGUUGGUGGGGUAAAGGCCUACCAAGGCGACGAUCGG
This 263-nucleotide ribosomal RNA is filed under the name uncultured bacterium. RNAcentral's name for it is "partial 16S ribosomal RNA". It matches the Rfam family "Bacterial small subunit ribosomal RNA", at positions 15 to 283 of the family's 1533-position model. The record is from RNAcentral.